Molecule: ribosomal RNA, 509 nt
Filed under: Goniocotes gallinae
Lineage: Eukaryota; Metazoa; Arthropoda; Insecta; Psocodea; Philopteridae
Description: SSU rRNA
Rfam family: Eukaryotic small subunit ribosomal RNA
Source: RNAcentral
UUGUCUCAAAGAUUAAGCCAUGCAUGUCUCAGUGCAAGCCGAAUUAAGGUGAAACCGCGAAAGGCUCAUUAAAUCAGCUAUGGUUCCUUAGAUGGUACGUACAGUUACUUGGAUAACUGUGGCAAUUCUAGAGCUAAUACAUGCAAAUUGAGUUCCGACCGCUGUCGCAGGCGGAAGGAAUGCUUUUAUUAGAUCAAAACCAAUCGGACUUUCCCUCAUAAUCGGGGGAUCGUCCGUUACGUCUUGGUGACUCUGAAUAACUUUGAGCUGAUCGCACGGUCCCGCACCGGCGACGCAUCUUUCAAAUGUCUGACUUAUCAACUUUCGAUGGUAGGCUCUGCGCCUACCAUGGUCGUAACGGGUAACGGGGAAUCAGGGUUCGAUUCCGGAGAGGGAGCCUGAGAAACGGCUACCACAUCCAAGGAAGGCAGCAGGCGCGCAAAUUACCCACUCCCGGAACGGGGAGGUAGUGACGAAAAAUAACGAUGCAGAACUCUUUCCGAGGCUCU